CCGGCAUAUCGAGAUCUGGGCAGGAAGAGAGAGAAGCAAUAAGCGGCACUCCCAGGGAGAAGUAAACACACACGCAGCGAUUUGAACUGCACCCAAGCGAGAUAAAAGCAGGAGAAGGAAUUCAGGUCUGCUUCAAUCCGACCCAGGCACCGCCAGAGGGAUUUGGUGCCGGAGCCAGCGCGGAUCCAGCAGCUCCUCCACCCUCUGCCCCACCAGCACCCCGCUGCUCUCCGUGCUGGCUCCAGGACGGCUCCGUCCCUCUUACCGGGGCAGCCCUUUCCUACAGACAGGGUUUGUGUGCGUGCAGGCUGCUGUCUGCUAUGCUGGGCACAGGCGGGGGCUCGCUGGGGCGGGCGGGUGCCAGCCCCGAAGGAUUUUGGCCAGCAGCGAGAUAGCGUCCCCGGGAAGACGCAUCAGAGACUGCACACAUUCAAGUCCCACGUCAACGACAUGCAGAUUCCCCCUCGAAUUCAGAUGCUUUCAGCCAAAACCCUCCGCUGCGCAUUUUGGAAGUUGAUAUAUUCAUCUUCACGUUCUGGGGCUGCGAGGGAGAGGGAAGGCAGCUGAGCAGCCUGCAGCUUGUCUCUUCUCAUGAGUGUCAAAGGCAAUAAAAAGGGAGCUGGGCCAAAAAACGAAAAACGGAGCUGAACAGCCCCUGGGCGCUUCAGGAGCCAUCACCCGGACAUCUGCAGAGCCAGAGCUGCUCAACACCCAGCAGAGCUCACUGCUGGCCAAAUCGCUGCCUUCGCUUUGCUGCCUAAGAUUUUACUGCUGGGGCCCCCAGCUGCCACCUUUUAAAUUUGUGUGGUGAAUACCCAGAGGAAAAAAAAAUAAAAAAUUUGAAAGAUACCAGGCCGUCCAGCUUUCUGCCUUGCUGCCUGUUUAAUGGCAGGCCGCGCGCACAGCAUCACCCCUACUCUCACUACACAGAGAACACAUUUAAGUGAAAAAAAGAAAUUGAUGUUUUCGUGCCAGGUGGAAGCAGUAGCAGAGGGGGAUCUCGGCCUUCAGGGGAGGUGUGUGGAGCUACUGGUGCCGUGGUAGGUGCCAACUGGGACCGACCCCCUUGUUCUAAACACCUCCACCACCACACAGACCCUCUGCUUCCAACAGCACUUGGUAAGUCAGUGCAGUGUGGGCAGCGUUUUAAGCAGUGUCAGUUCCCUCAGUUGCCCGAUUUUGGGCUCCCUGUUUGAUAAACACGCAGCCAGAGCCGCGUUGCCCCUGUGGGGAUGGAUGGCGGUGCUUUACAACCUCUGAGGGGGGACGAGGGUUGUGUCUCCCCGCAGAUGCACCACGCAGGGGGUUUAUGACGGAUUUUGUGAAGGGAUUUAGGAAGAAACGACUGAAGGGCUGCGCAAAGGAACUGUGCUGAUGCUGUGCUGCCCUCGCGUGGGUCUUUCAGGAACAUCCCAAUCCCCCUAAACGAGCGCUGUUCAGCACCUCCUCCACAAAACCCAAUGAGGCGAUCACGGCCAUUUUUUAACCCUUCCCGGAAUAAGAACUCCGCCUGGGGAGGCGGCUUGGCUUUAAAGGCAGCGGGGGACCCCUGAGGG
Non-coding RNA from Anas platyrhynchos (mallard), 1556 nucleotides. The record is from RefSeq and is a predicted model, not a curated record. NCBI's taxonomy places the organism in Eukaryota, Metazoa, Chordata, Aves, Anseriformes, Anatidae.